UAGGGAGUAUAGCCCUAAUGUUGGCAAAAGGCGACAAGGGAAUGGAGGCCCUAUGUCUAAAAAUGCUCAACUCAGGAAUUGGAGCCGUAAUGUUGGCAAAAGGAGACUAGGGAAUGGAGACCCUAUGUCUAAAAGGCUUAACUCAGAGAUUGGAGCCCUAAUGUUGGCAAAAUGUGACUAGUAAAUGGAGGCCCUAUGUCUAAAAGGCUCAACUCAGGGAUUGGAGCCCUAAUGUUGGCAAAAGGCGACUAGGGAAUGGAGGCCCUAUGUCUAAAAAGAUCAACUCAAGGAUUGGAGCCCUAAUGUUGGCAAAAGGCAAUUAGGGAAUGGAGGCCCUAUGUCUAAAAGGCUUAACUCAAGGAUUGGAGACCUAAUGUUGGCAAAAUGUGACUAGGGAAUGGAGGCCCUAUGUCUAAAAGGCUUAACUCAGGGAUUGGAGCCCUAAUGUUGGCAAAAGGCAGCUAGGGAAUAGAGACCCGUUGUCUAAAAAGGCUCAACUCAGGGAUUGGAGCCCUAAUGUUGGCAAAAGGCGACUAGGGAAUGGAGGCCCCAUGUCUAAAAGGCUCAACUCAGGGAUUUGAGCCUUAAUGUUGACAAAAGGAGACUAGGGAAUGGAGGCCCUUUGUCUAAAAAGCUCAACUCAGGGAUUAGAGCCCUAAUGUUGGCAAAAGAUGACUAGGGAAUGGAGGCCCUAUGUCUAAAAAUGCUCAACUCAGGGAUUGGAGCCGUAAUGUUGGCAAAAGGAGACUAGGGAAUGAAGGCCCUAUGUCUAAAAGGCUUAACUCAGG
RNAcentral lists this long non-coding RNA (788 nucleotides) under Nicotiana tabacum (common tobacco). RNAcentral describes it as "long non-coding RNA (NTAB_LNC006027)". Lineage: Eukaryota; Viridiplantae; Streptophyta; Magnoliopsida; Solanales; Solanaceae. The record is from RNAcentral.